RNAcentral lists this long non-coding RNA (2156 nucleotides) under Nicotiana tabacum (common tobacco). RNAcentral describes it as "long non-coding RNA (NTAB_LNC001638)". The record is from RNAcentral. Lineage: Eukaryota; Viridiplantae; Streptophyta; Magnoliopsida; Solanales; Solanaceae.
GUUGCCAUUACCAAAAGUUUCAACAAAUUCUGAUUCUCAACACUUAACAACGAGAAUUGUUAGAAUCGUAGCAAUGUAAAAUUUUGCGGUUCUAAAAGAGUACGGUGCAAUCUCCGCCAAGAAUAUUAUGCAGAGUUUUCCCUACUCCAGGUAUGUUAAAGCUAUCCCUUCUUUCUUUUUGACAUGAUCCAUAUGAUACAAAUGAAACUAGCAAAUGCUCAACUUCCAUAAAUGACUAUAUUCAUAGAAAUGCUAGAGAUGUUUAUGCUCUUGAUUCCCAUAUGUUUUAUUAUUCUAUCGUAUGUUCAUGCGUUUAAGAGAAUAUGUAACUUGAUAAAGUUUACUUCAUGAUAUUAAUCAAAAGCAUAAUGGUCUAAUAACAUUUCGAGAGAUUUUAUUGAUGUACUUCUUGUAGACAUGUGAUUUUUGACCCUCCCCAAGAUCUUUCAUAUAUUAGAGUAAAAUAUUUAAUUUAGGUAUAAUAUAGAUAUUUUAAGUAAUUUUGACUCUUUUACUUUAUUUUAGUACAAGAAAAACAAAAAUUACAACAAAAAAUAUAUAUAAUAUAUAUAUAAUAAUAUAAUAAUAAGUUCAUUAAUAUUUGUAGUCAUUUUUAAUUCAAAAGAAAUAUAUAAAAAUAGUAUCGUGUUUUUAUUUUUAAUAUAAUGUUUGAAAAUACAAAAAAAGAUAGAUUUGUUUUAAGGGUUAGUCUUAUUUUAAUAAUUAUUUUAAUAGUAGGACUAAUAAAUAAAUGGGCGCGUAUUUUUAAUCUCAUUCGCGGCAAAAGAAUAGAGCUUGGGCUCGAGCAACCCAGCUUUAGGCCUAAUUUUGGACCUAGCCCACAAUUGUCAAGCCCAUAACUCCUAGGCCCACACCCCUUAACCUAAAAACCCUACCCAAAAAACCCUAGACUCUACACUAUAAAACAAGACUAAGGAUUAAAAGAAUGAGGAGAGAGGAACGAGCUGGGGAAAGAGGGAGCUGGGGGAAAGGCACGUAGUAAGACUGCGUAUGAACAAAAAGAAAGGAGGAGGAAGCUAAACGCAGAAGAUCUGCGUGAAAACAAACAACCCCACCCCCCGCACAUCAUCUUCCCCGUCGCACCCCACCUCUAAACGCCGACCAAGCCCACCCUAAACAACACCCCUUCACGUCGUCAUCUUCUUCGACGGACGUCGAGAACCAGCCAUCACCUCAUUUCCAUCUUCAUCCUCACCCCUCUCCCCAACGAACUGAAACCACCACCAUAGCAGCCCAUUUCCCCGUCGACGCACCUAACCAUACACACAUACAGCGACAGUGGGAGAUCAGGAGUAAGAGGAGGUGGCGAGUGACAUUCUAAAAAUCAAUGGAAUAGUAGCCUCGAUUUAGGUUUGUUCAAGCUGUCCGUUUGUGAAUCUGAGGUUGCGAUGCGAAGUCCGUCGUUGAACUUUGUCGCGUUUCCGGCGAGUUUCGAAGUCUGAAUCGUGGUUCUGAUUCGAGGUUGCGAUUCCGGUUCAAGUUAAAAUUUCGUCAUUUGGCACUCCAUUAGGACUGUGUAAUUGCUGAAAAUUUUAGUUGAAUGAAGCUUAAAUUUCAGAUUCUCUAAAUUGUCGAUUUUUAUGCUCGGCUGGUCGAUUGUUAGUUUUUGGUUUGUCUAUGCUUCGUUGCCAUUAAUAUCGAUUAGCGACGUAUUAAUUGAUGACUGAAUGAGUUUGAGCUUUCUGUCGAGCUUUUAGUUCGUCGAUGGUCGUCGUCUAAGGAGACUCCGUUUCAGUCCUGCGUUGAGGUGCCGUUUGGUUGGUUUCCGGUUUGAAUUUCGUCACCAGUUCAAAGUCUCAAUCAGUGGCUCGUUUCUAUGUUGCUGUUUUGCUUUGGUGUUCGUUUCUCUGUUCGCAGCACAAAAGCUCAGAUCCAAUAAUAAAAGGUCCAUUUUUUCCUCCUGUUUAAACACGUAUUACAUUUUCUUUCUUGGUAGGUUUUUCUUCUAAAUGUUCUACGUAUUUCCUUUUUAUCUCAUUGUCUUAUUUUGAUUAAUUUAUUUUAUUUGCUUUAGUUUAAUGAUUUAAUUAGAUGAACAUUAAUUGCUUAUUCUACUACUGAAUAUCUAAUGGUUGAGAGAUAAGAAUAUUUAUUUAAAUUACAAUAUAUGUGGUCAGCAAUUGGGUCCUACUGGG